UAGGGAAUCUUCCGCAAUGGACGAAAGUCUGACGGAGCAACGCCGCGUGAGUGAUGAAGGCCUUCGGGUCGUAAAACUCUGUUGUUAGGGAAGAACAAGUACCGUUCGAAUAGGGCGGUACCUUGACGGUACCUAACCAGAAAGCCACGGCUAACUACGUGCCAGCAGCCGCGGUAAUACGUAGGUGGCAAGCGUUGUCCGGAAUUAUUGGGCGUAAAGCGCGCGCAGGCGGUUCCUUAAGUCUGAUGUGAAAGCACACGGCUCAACCGUGGAGGGUCAUUUGAAACUGGGGAACUUGAGUGCAGAAGAGGAAAGCUGAAUUCCACGUGUAGCGGUUAAAUGCGUAGAGAUGUGGAGGAACACCAGUGGCGAAGGCGGCUUUCUGGUCUGUAACUGACGCUGAGGCGCGAAAGCGUGGGGAGCAAACAGG
Molecule: ribosomal RNA, 430 nt
Filed under: Bacillota bacterium
Lineage: Bacteria; Bacillati; Bacillota
Description: Firmicutes bacterium partial 16S ribosomal RNA
Rfam family: Bacterial small subunit ribosomal RNA
Source: RNAcentral